AGUGAACGCUGGCGGUAUGCCUAACACAUGCAAGUCGAACGGCAGCACAGUAAGAUCUUGCUCUUACGGGUGGCGAGUGGCGGACGGGUGAGGAAUACAUCGGAAUCUACUUUUUCGUGGGGGAUAACGUAGGGAAACUUACGCUAAUACCGCAUACGACCUACGGGUGAAAGCAGGGGAUCUUCGGACCUUGCGCGAUUGAAUGAGCCGAUGUCGGAUUAGCUAGUUGGCGGGGUAAAGGCCCACCAAGGCGACGAUCCGUAGCUGGUCUGAGAGGAUGAUCAGCCACACUGGAACUGAGACACGGUCCAGACUCCUACGGGAGGCAGCAGUGGGGAAUAUUGGGCAAUGGGCGCAAGCCUGAUCCAGCAAUACCGCGUGGGUGAAGAAGGCCUUCGGGUUGUAAAGCCCUUUUGUUGGGAAAGAAAAGCAGCAGGUUAAUACCCCGCUGUUCUGACGGUACCCAAAGAAUAAGCACCGGCUAACUUCGUG
RNAcentral lists this ribosomal RNA (492 nucleotides) under uncultured bacterium. Its description in RNAcentral is "partial 16S ribosomal RNA". It matches the Rfam family "Bacterial small subunit ribosomal RNA", at positions 29 to 507 of the family's 1533-position model. The record is from RNAcentral.